This 1124-nucleotide long non-coding RNA is filed under the name Helianthus annuus (common sunflower). RNAcentral's name for it is "sRNA HanXRQr2_Chr07g0297301". Lineage: Eukaryota; Viridiplantae; Streptophyta; Magnoliopsida; Asterales; Asteraceae. The record is from RNAcentral.
GUGAUUUACAGGAGCCAAGAAAGGGGCUCUUACAAAGCCCUAAAACUCACAAGAAAUCCAACAAAAAUCGAAGAUAGAACAAGCUAAAAAUUGGGGCUUUUAAUAAAUUUGGGAUCACCCAAGCUAGAAGAUUGCAAGUUUGACUCUGACAAGCUAGGUAGGAGCUUGGAAAUGAACGGGUCAAAUGGAUACAAGUUCAAGUAUGAAGCUCGCAAGGAUGCAAGGUAAGUAUAACUUACACUAGUCAUAUAUUUUAGAAUGUUCUUUUGUCGUAUUGACUACGAAUAAGACAAAUGGUAAUUUAGUCACACGUUGACAAUAAUCGUUAGUUUUAAAAGACGCUUUCCCGCGUAAGACAUAAAGAGCCGAAAGUGGUAAUAAACGGUUUAUAAAUAAAAUGAGCAUACGGUGUUAAAAGGAGCGAGUCAUGUAGAUGAGAUGAUAAUAAAUAUUAUCUCGCAAAGGUAAACGGUCAAUUCGGCCAAACGGGUCAAAAGGUGUAGACAUCACCUUUUGACAAUAUCGACUAAUGAUUCUGGUGUCGAGUUAUAUGUUUACAGGAGUAGAUAUCCAAUGGAUACUCGCAUCGCUCUUAAUUAGCAAUUAUAAAGCAAGGUAUUAAACCGGGUUAGUAAGUUGAUCCGAGCCAGGUAUGUAUAAUAGAUUAACUCAUCAUGUAGAAUUUGAAGUUCGAUGAAAGUUAGGCAAAAUAAAAAAAGGGCAUUCGGUUACCUUAAUAGGUAAACUAAAGGAUUUAAAUUAUUUAGACAGAAUGUUUUGAAAACAAGAUUUGGUUAAAAAUGAGAAAUUAGAAUCAAACAACAGGUUUAUUUGAUAAAAUCACGAACGGGUCAAAUUUGGUAAAAAGGGGUAAUAAGCCGAAGACUUAAAAGUCUUAAAUUUUGUUAAUCCAGAUGUUGGGUCUUGACUCCAUUUGAUGGAGGUUCAAUUUACAAUCACGUAGGAAGAAACGGUAGGUCAAACGGACAAGCGGAUUAAAAGUUAUGAAGGUUUCCGUUUUAGAAAUCGGCAAACUUGGAAAAUCUUGCAGAGGCCACCGUAAGUUACGGUACAUUUUGGAUGCCGGAAGACGAUCAAGCUCAUUGGAGAACCGAACACGAUAA